This 402-nucleotide ribosomal RNA is filed under the name Verrucomicrobiota bacterium. RNAcentral describes it as "Verrucomicrobia bacterium partial 16S ribosomal RNA". It matches the Rfam family "Bacterial small subunit ribosomal RNA", at positions 355 to 776 of the family's 1533-position model. The record is from RNAcentral. Lineage: Bacteria; Pseudomonadati; Verrucomicrobiota.
UGGGGAAUUUUGCACAAUGGGGGAAACCCUGAUGCAGCGACGCCGCGUGAUUUAGAAGGCCUUCGCGUUGUAAAAAUCUUUUUUAUGGGAUGAAAAUGACAGUACCAUAAGAAUAAGGUCCGGCUAAAUACGUGCCAGCAGCCGCGGUAAUACGUAUGGACCGAGCGUUGUCCGGAAUCAUUGGGCGUAAAGGGUACGUAGGCGGCCCAGUAAGUUAGAAGUGAAAUAAUAUAGCUCAACUAUAUAAAGCUUUUAAAACUGCUAGGCUUGAGAGAUGGAAGGGAAAGUGGAAUUCCUAGUGUAGCGAUGAAAUGCGCAGAUAUUAGGAAGAAUACCGGUGGCGAAGGCGACUUUCUGGUCAUCAUCUGACGCUGAGGUACGAAAGCGUGGGUAGCAAACAGG